CGAGCGUCAUCAACAACCCUCAAGCACUGCUUGGCGUUGGGCCUCAUCGUCAUGGUGGACCCUAAAAUCAGUGGCGGUGCCAUUCGGUUCCCAGCGUAGUAAUAAACCCCUCGCUGCGGAAGCUCAAUGUGCCUCUGCCAGCAACCCCUAAAUUCUCAAGGUUUGACCUCGGAUCAGGUAGGGAUACCCGCUGAACUUAA
This 200-nucleotide unclassified non-coding RNA is filed under the name soil metagenome. RNAcentral's name for it is "partial contains internal transcribed spacer 2 and large subunit ribosomal RNA". The record is from RNAcentral.